Molecule: long non-coding RNA, 610 nt
Filed under: Pectinophora gossypiella (pink bollworm)
Lineage: Eukaryota; Metazoa; Arthropoda; Insecta; Lepidoptera; Gelechiidae
Description: uncharacterized LOC126367892
Source: RNAcentral
UAUAGUGCUGCAAAGGACUUUAGGCUUUUAGCCCUAAAUUUCAGCCUACCGAGUCCUUUUUGGGACUAGACCAGUAAAAUAGGGCUUUAAAAGCUUCGUCAUUUUAAAAAACUUUUAGCCAUUUUUAAAGUAGUAGGCUUUAAAAAAGCCUAUAGCCUUUUUAAUGUAGUAGGCUUUUAAAAAGCCUAUAGCUUUUUUUAAAGUAGUAGGCUUUUUGGGACUGGAGUCUUUAUUAUCAUUUUUUAGUAAAAGCCUUUUUACCGAUUUCAAAAAAGGGAGUUAUCAAUUCGAUACGUAUGUAUAUAAUAUUAUUGGAGCUACAUAAAAUUCACACAUGAUAUUGGCCUUAAAAAUCGGUUGUUUUCGCCACGUUUUACAAAUAUUGAGGGACUGUCUGAAAUUGUGUAUCACUGGUAGUAGUCCCUUAGUAAAAAAUAUUAAAUAAAAAAAAUUAUCAUUAAUCUAACGAGAAUUUAUGAUUAUUGUGAUUUAUAAUACCCGAAUUAAUCCUAACUAAAAGAAUACAAUUAAGUACCUUAGUAAGUUUAGAACUUAGUUGAUUUUAAUCUAUCAUUAUCAAUGUAAAAUAAAAACUAAUUGUUAUGAUCAA